UGCACACCUGGAAACUUUAAGAGAAUUUACGACACUGGGCCGAUGUAAAUUAUACUCUACAGAACACAAGAACUUGGGGGCAAGAUCUCAGAUAGUGAAGUAAUCUCCAAGAAAACACGGGAGCUGCCAGACACUGCGUGCCUAACAGGAUGGCUGCUAAGAUCCUCCUGAAGUGACUUCAUCACAGACACUUGUUGUUGACCAGCUAUUAGAGGACCAAAUUACUGUUACAGUCCAUUAUUGAGAGAAGCCUCGGGGCUGACACUGAAGCCAAGCACUGAAAGGAACGUGACUUCCUGGCUUGCUCAGCCGCCAGUCUUAGACAGCUCAGACCCAGCUGUCCAGCGAGGUACCACCCGUACAAUUAGCAACCAAGAAAACGCCCACAGGCCAAUAUGAUGGGGUCAAACCCUCAGAGGAGCGUCCCUCAUCCAGUUGAAGAAAAGCAGGCACCUCACCCACCAUGAUGGACUGACUGUACCAUUGAACUGGGA
Molecule: non-coding RNA, 494 nt
Organism: Cricetulus griseus (Chinese hamster)
Lineage: Eukaryota; Metazoa; Chordata; Mammalia; Rodentia; Cricetidae
Source: RefSeq, a predicted model, not a curated record